This 253-nucleotide ribosomal RNA is filed under the name uncultured bacterium. Its description in RNAcentral is "partial 16S ribosomal RNA". It matches the Rfam family "Bacterial small subunit ribosomal RNA", at positions 524 to 776 of the family's 1533-position model. The record is from RNAcentral.
UACGUAGGGGGCAAGCGUUAUCCGGAUUUACUGGGUGUAAAGGGAGCGUAGACGGCAAUACAAGUCGGAAGUGAAAUACCCGGGCUCAACCUGGGAACUGCCUUGGAAACUGUAUGGCUGGAGUGCUGGAGAGGUAAGCGGAAUUCCUAGUGUAGCGGUGAAAUGCGUAGAUAUUAGGAGGAACACCAGUGGCGAAGGCGGCUUACUGGACAGUAACUGACGUUGAGGCUCGAAAGCGUGGGGAGCAAACAGG